Molecule: small nucleolar RNA, 132 nt
Organism: Alexandromys fortis (reed vole)
Lineage: Eukaryota; Metazoa; Chordata; Mammalia; Rodentia; Cricetidae
Product: small nucleolar RNA SNORA65
Exons: 1
Source: RefSeq, a predicted model, not a curated record
CCCGCCACUGCACCUGACCAGUACUGUUAGCUGGUGCAAUCCAGUGUUGAGCUGAUAGUAAGCCCCAGCUUUAGGAAACAAACAGCGUUGUCCUCCAUGUGAUGACUCUGUGCCGAAAGCAUGGGGACAGUU